RNAcentral lists this ribosomal RNA (258 nucleotides) under uncultured prokaryote. RNAcentral's name for it is "partial 16S ribosomal RNA". It matches the Rfam family "Bacterial small subunit ribosomal RNA", at positions 521 to 777 of the family's 1533-position model. The record is from RNAcentral.
UAACACGUAGGGUGCGAGCGUUGUCCGGAAUUAUUGGGCGUAAAGAGCUCGUAGGCGGUGUGUCGCGUCGGCCGUGAAAACCUGCAGCUUAACUGUGGGCUUGCGGUCGAUACGGGCAUCACUGGAGUUCGGCAGGGGAGACUGGAAUUCCUGGUGUAGCGGUGAAAUGCGCAGAUAUCAGGAGGAACACCGGUGGCGAAGGCGGGUCUCUGGGCCGAUACUGACGCUGAGGAGCGAAAGCGUGGGGAGCGAACAGGA